AGACUCCUUAUGAGGAAUGUGAGAAGCCCAAGCCAACUCCUGCUCCUUACCACUACAUAUCUCCUCCGCCACCAACUUAUGUCUAUAAAUCACCACCACCUCCACCACCAACUUACCUAUACAAGUCACCGCCACCACCAGUGAAACCUCCACCAAAGCCGUAUUAUUACGUCUCCCCACCACCACCAACUUAUGUCUAUAAAUCACCACCACCUCCACCACCAACUUACCUAUACAAGUCACCGCCACCACCGGUGAAACCUCCGCCAAAGCCGUAUCAUUACGUCUCCCCACCACCACCUACUGUAUCUCCACCGCAUUAUUACUACACAUCACCACCACCACCGGUGAAACCUCCGCCAAAGCCGUAUCAUUACAUCUCCCCACCACCACCGGAGAAAUCUCCACCACCACCCUAUCCUUACAUCUCCCCGCCACCGCCGGAGAAAUCUCCACCACCACCCUAUCCUUACAUCUCCCCACCACCGCCGGAGAAAU
This 498-nucleotide long non-coding RNA is filed under the name Coffea arabica (coffee). Its description in RNAcentral is "long non-coding RNA (CARA_LNC002214)". The record is from RNAcentral. Lineage: Eukaryota; Viridiplantae; Streptophyta; Magnoliopsida; Gentianales; Rubiaceae.